This 2875-nucleotide ribosomal RNA is filed under the name Enterobacter cloacae subsp. cloacae. RNAcentral describes it as "bacterial LSU rRNA". It matches the Rfam family "Bacterial large subunit ribosomal RNA". The record is from RNAcentral. Lineage: Bacteria; Pseudomonadati; Pseudomonadota; Gammaproteobacteria; Enterobacterales; Enterobacteriaceae.
UUAAGCGACUAAGCGUACACGGUGGAUGCCCGGCAGUCAGAGGCGAUGAAGGACGUGCUAAUCUGCGAAAAGCGACGGCGAGGUGAUAUGAACCUUUGACCCGUCGAUGUCCGAAUGGGGAAACCCAGUGUGUUUCGACACACUAUCGUUAACUGAAUACAUAGGUUAACGAGGCGAACCGGGGAACUGAAACAUCUAAGUACCCCGAGGAAAAGAAAUCAACCGAGAUUCCCCAGUAGCGGCGAGCGAACGGGGAGCAGCCCGAGUCUGAAUCAGCUUGUGUGUUAGUGGAAGCGUCUGGAAAGUCGCACGGUACAGGGUGACAGUCCCGUACACGAAAACACAGGUUGUGAACUCGAAGAGUAGGGCGGGACACGUGGUAUCCUGUCUGAAUAUGGGGACCAUCCUCCAAGGCUAAAUACUCCUGACUGACCGAUAGUGAACCAGUACCGUGAGGGAAAGGCGAAAAGAACCCCGGCGAGGGAGUGAAAAGAACCUGAAACCGUGUACGUACAAGCAGUGGGAGCACCUUCGGGUGUGACUGCGUACCUUUGUAUAAUGGGUCAGCGACUUAUAUUCUGUAGCAAGGUUAACCGUAUAGGGAGCCGCAGGAAACCGAGUCUUAACUGGGCGUUAAGUUGCAGGGUAUAGACCCGAAACCCGGUGAUCUAGCCAUGGGCAGGUUGAAGGUUGGGUAACACUAACUGGAGGACCGAACCGACUAAUGUUGAAAAAUUAGCGGAUGACCUGUGGCUGGGGUGAAAGGCCAAUCAAACCGGGAGAUAGCUGGUUCUCCCCGAAAGCUAUUUAGGUAGCGCCUCGUGAACUCAUCUUCGGGGUAGAGCACUGUUUCGGCUAGGGGCCAUCCCGGCUUACCAACCCGAUGCAAACUACGAAUACCGAAGAAUGUUAUCACGGGAGACACACGGCGGGUGCUAACGUCCGUCGUGAAGAGGAAACAACCCAGACCGCCAGCUAAGGUCCCAAAGUCAUGGUUAAGUGGGAAACGAUGUGGGAAGGCACAGACAGCCGGAUGUUGGCUUAGAAGCAGCCAUCAUUUAAAGAAAGCGUAAUAGCUCACUGGUCGAGUCGGCCUGCGCGGAAGAUGUAACGGGGCUAAACCAUGCACCGAAGCUGCGGCAGCGACGCUUAUGCGUUGUUGGGUAGGGGAGCGUUCUGUAAGCCGUCGAAGGUGUGCUGUGAGGCAUGCUGGAGGUAUCAGAAGUGCGAAUGCUGACAUAAGUAACGAUAAAGCGGGUGAAAAGCCCGCUCGCCGGAAGACCAAGGGUUCCUGUCCAACGUUAAUCGGGGCAGGGUGAGUCGACCCUAAGGCGAGGCCGAAAGGCGUAGUCGAUGGGAAACAGGUUAAUAUUCCUGUACUUGGUGUUACUGCGAAGGGGGACGGAGAAGGCUAUGUCAGCCGGGCGACGGUUGUCCCGGUUUAAGCGUGUAGGUGUGUGUCCGAGCAAAUCCGGUUCACUUUAACACUGAGGCGUGAUGACGAGGCACUACGGUGCUGAAGUGAUAAAUGCCCUGCUUCCGGAAAAGCCUCUAAGCAUCAGGUAACACGAAAUCGUACCCCAAACCGACACAGGUGGUCAGGUAGAGAAUACCAAGGCGCUUGAGAGAACUCGGGUGAAGGAACUAGGCAAAAUGGUGCCGUAACUUCGGGAGAAGGCACGCUGAUAUGUAGGUGAAGUCCCUGCGGACGGAGCUGAAAUCAGUCGAAGAUACCAGCUGGCUGCAACUGUUUAUUAAAAACACAGCACUGUGCAAACACGAAAGUGGACGUAUACGGUGUGACGCCUGCCCGGUGCCGGAAGGUUAAUUGAUGGGGUUAGCGGCAACGCGAAGCUCUUGAUCGAAGCCCCGGUAAACGGCGGCCGUAACUAUAACGGUCCUAAGGUAGCGAAAUUCCUUGUCGGGUAAGUUCCGACCUGCACGAAUGGCGUAAUGAUGGCCGGCUGUCUCCACCCGAGACUCAGUGAAAUUGAACUCGCUGUGAAGAUGCAGUGUACCCGCGGCAAGACGGAAAGACCCCGUGAACCUUUACUAUAGCUUGACACUGAACACUGGUCCUUGAUGUGUAGGAUAGGUGGGAGGCUUUGAAGCGUGGACGCCAGUCUGCGUGGAGCCGUCCUUGAAAUACCACCCUUUAAUGGCUGGUGUUCUAACGUGGACCCGUAAUCCGGGUUGCGGACAGUGUCUGGUGGGUAGUUUGACUGGGGCGGUCUCCUCCCAAAGAGUAACGGAGGAGCACGAAGGUUAGCUAAUCUGGUCGGACAUCAGGAGGUUAGUGCAAUGGCAUAAGCUAGCUUGACUGCGAGAGUGACGGCUCGAGCAGGUGCGAAAGCAGGUCAUAGUGAUCCGGUGGUUCUGAAUGGAAGGGCCAUCGCUCAACGGAUAAAAGGUACUCCGGGGAUAACAGGCUGAUACCGCCCAAGAGUUCAUAUCGACGGCGGUGUUUGGCACCUCGAUGUCGGCUCAUCACAUCCUGGGGCUGAAGUAGGUCCCAAGGGUAUGGCUGUUCGCCAUUUAAAGUGGUACGCGAGCUGGGUUUAGAACGUCGUGAGACAGUUCGGUCCCUAUCUGCCGUGGGCGCUGGAGAAUUGAGGGGCUGCUCCUAGUACGAGAGGACCGGAGUGGACGCAUCACUGGUGUUCGGGUUGUCAUGCCAAUGGCACUGCCCGGUAGCUAAAUGCGGAAGAGAUAAGUGCUGAAAGCAUCUAAGCACGAAACUUGCCCCGAGAUGAGUUCUCCUGAGACUUUAAGUCUCCUGAAGGAACGUUGAAGACGACGACGUUGAUAGGCCGGGUGUGUAAGCGCAGCGAUGCGUUGAGCUAACCGGUACUAAUGAACCGUGAGGCUUAACCUU